Molecule: long non-coding RNA, 278 nt
Organism: Dipodomys ordii (Ord's kangaroo rat)
Lineage: Eukaryota; Metazoa; Chordata; Mammalia; Rodentia; Heteromyidae
Exons: 2
Source: RefSeq, a predicted model, not a curated record
UUCAAGCCCCAGUAUAGGGACACACACACACACACACACACACACACAGACACACACACACACACACACACCUCCACACACACACAACCAGGUUUUCUCCCAUUUUAAUCACCCAUUCAGAGUUUAUUUUUCUAAAGACUUUAUUGGUUUUCAAGUGUAAGUGUAUUCCUAAAAUGUCAGUGAUUACCUAGAAGUUGUACAGAUUUUUUUUUAAAUAAAAUAACUUUUUUUUAACUGUAACUACUAGCCACUUUUCCAUUAAAGGCAAAAUGGCAACA